AUUGAACGCUGGCGGCAUGCUUUACACAUGCAAGUCGAACGGUAACAGGGUGCUUGCACCGCUGACGAGUGGCGAACGGGUGAGUAAUGCGUCGGAACGUGCCGAGUAGUGGGGGAUAACGCAGCGAAGGUUGUGCUAAUACCGCAUACGUACUGAGGUAGAAAGUGGGGGACCUUCGGGCCUCACGUUAUUCGAGCGGCCGACGUCUGAUUAGCUAGUAGGUGAGGUAAAGGCUCACCUAGGCGACGAUCAGUAGCGGGUCUGAGAGGAUGAUCCGCCACACUGGGACUGAGACACGGCCCAGACUCCUACGGGAGGCAGCAGUGGGGAAUUUUGGACAAUGGGCGAAAGCCUGAUCCAGCCAUGCCGCGUGUCUGAAGAAGGCCUUCGGGUUGUAAAGGACUUUUGUCAGGGAGGAAAUCCCUAGUGCUAAUAACACUGGGGGAUGACAGUACCUGAAGAAUAAGCACCGGCUAACUACGUGCCAGCCGCCGCGGUAA
This 500-nucleotide ribosomal RNA is filed under the name uncultured bacterium. RNAcentral describes it as "partial 16S ribosomal RNA". It matches the Rfam family "Bacterial small subunit ribosomal RNA", at positions 30 to 523 of the family's 1533-position model. The record is from RNAcentral.